This 503-nucleotide ribosomal RNA is filed under the name uncultured bacterium. Its description in RNAcentral is "partial 16S ribosomal RNA". It matches the Rfam family "Bacterial small subunit ribosomal RNA", at positions 30 to 523 of the family's 1533-position model. The record is from RNAcentral.
AUUGAACGCUGGCGGCAGGCUUAACACAUGCAAGUCGAGCGGAGUGAUGGUGCUUGCACUAUCACUUAGCGGCGGACGGGUGAGUAAUGCUUAGGAAUCUGCCUAUUAGUGGGGGACAACAUCUCGAAAGGGAUGCUAAUACCGCAUACGUCCUACGGGAGAAAGCAGGGGAUCACUUGUGACCUUGCGCUAAUAGAUGAGCCUAAGUCGGAUUAGCUAGUUGGUGGGGUAAAGGCCUACCAAGGCGACGAUCUGUAGCGGGUCUGAGAGGAUGAUCCGCCACACGGGGACGUGGACACGGCCCAGACGCCUACGGGAGGCAGCAGUGGGGAAUAUUGGACAAUUGGGGGAACCCUGAUCCAGCCAUGCCGCGUGUGUGAAGAAGGCCUUAUGGUUGUAAAGAACUUUAAGCGAGGAGGAGGCUCUUUUGGUUAAUACCCAAGAUGAGUGGACGUUACUCGCAGAAUAAGCACCGGCUAACUCUGUGCCAGCAGCCGCCGUAA